This 72-nucleotide transfer RNA is filed under the name Ornithorhynchus anatinus (platypus). It matches the Rfam family "tRNA". Rfam says of the family: Transfer RNA (tRNA) molecules are approximately 80 nucleotides in length. The record is from Rfam by way of RNAcentral. Lineage: Eukaryota; Metazoa; Chordata; Mammalia; Monotremata; Ornithorhynchidae.
GGCUCAGUGGCUCAGUGGAAAGAGUCUGGGCUUGGGAGUCAGAGGUCAUGGGUUCAAAUCCCCACUCUGCCA